ACGUUUAUUGUGGUUAUUUUCCCAGGUGUCUUAGAAGCAGCUGUUUUGUGCUUUCCUGAACUUAAUAGUUGAAGAAUGUGGGAAAGAAAUGGCGUACUUUCUGGAGGAUUCAUUUCAUAGGUGUCUAUACAUCAGUCAAGAAAAUGACUAUAGAGGAAUUACCAAGACUGGUAAUAAAGGAUUAAGUGGCAUUGUAUUUGUACAGCACUUAGCCCAUUGCCUAGACUCAGUAAAGUCCCAGUAAAUAGUAUUAAUAUCAUUAUUAUCACCAUCAUAUUGUCUUUAGCCCUAACUAAUAGUAUAUUGCUCUCUGGUGACACGGUGUUUUUCUCCCCUCUGUGUAGGUUUUGCUUUGUUUUGCUUUGAAAGCAAAACCAAAAUUGGUGUGCCUGUUGAAAAAGUUAGUAGUUGGAAAAAGAAAAUGUAUUUUCCUAAGUGAGACCAUGAUUGUCUAUGCCAGAUAUCCGGAUUCUAGGCAGCAAAAAAGAACCAUUUUGUUUUAAUGGAACUUCGUUUCUAUGGUGUAUAGUAUAUAUUGUUGUAUGCUCUGUGCUAGGGUCUCACAUUCAGACUCCUGAAGCAGCAGGAGGAAUGAAGUAGGCUGUGGGCAGAGAGCACCCAAGUCCCACUGAAAGCCGGUGAGUCCCAUUGAAAGGCCCCUUAGCUUGAGUCAAUUGGUGUUGGGUGAAAACCUGGGUGCAGUGUCCCAAUUAUUAUUAUUAUUAUUUUAAGAAUCCAUGGAAAUCCACAUUUUCAUGUGAAUCAGAGGAUGUUUUAAAUACUGGCAGCUGUGUCUUUGAGAAUGCUGUUGGCUGCAAGAAACAAAAAAUAGUGGUCUCAACACAGAUUUAUUUUUCUUACAGAGCGAUAAGUUCAGAGGCAAUAGCUAAUGCGGGUUUAUUUGCUCACUAAUGCCAACAAGAGUCCCGGCACUUUCCAUUUUUAUGCUCUGACAUGCUUUAUUUGUUGACUUAUUUUGUAAUCCUUGUCAUGUUACAGUUGCCAUAUGUAUGUUCGAGGGAGGAUGAUGAGGAGAUGGGUCGUGCUAGCCUAAUUUGUUCCAUUUAUCAGGGAAGGAGAAACUGCCCCAGAAGCGACACAGGUGGCAUCUCCUUAUUCACUGGUUAAAACUGGAUCACUCGCUGCAAGGAAAUUUGGGGAAGCGAGUGUGCAGCUUGCCAGGCCCUGCAGUGGGCAGCGAGGGGGAGGUUGUAAAUGGCUGUGUGGUGUUUGCCAGGGCACAGUGCCUGCCCCAGCGCCCAGCUCAGCAGGAAACCCAGCUGCAGGGCCUGGAGACCCCUCGGCCUCCAGUGUGUAUCAGAAAUCUCCAGAUUUGAGCAUUGUGAAGGGAAAGUAUUAUUUGGGGAAAGGCCAGGGCUUUAUUUUUUAAUUCAGUGGUUUUGCAUUGUAUGAGAUAGGUCAUUGCUAGCAAUGAGGAAACUGCUGAGGGAACAAGAAUUUAUUUAAUUUUUAGAAAAGUUUAUCUGGAUUUUUUGUAGAGGAGUUAGAAAAGAACAUACCAUUUAAUGUUAUUUCUGGACAACUACUACAUUACAAUAAAAUAUGUAAAUUUUCCUAUACAUUUUUUUUAAAUUUAUGGAUAAACUAUAUUUGUCUUUAAUUGUUUUUAUUCUAAAACAAGUAUAUGUUUUAUAAAUCAUUCUAACCUGAUUUUGAUAACCUUUAUCAGAAAGAAAUCUUUUCUGCCUUUUUAUUUAUCUGUAUAUUUAACUUAAACACCGGGAAGCUCUUCCAAAAUGCUUUAUAAAAGCAGCCAUUUUAAGCUGAUUAAAAGCAUGUUUGAUAUGUAUGGAUGUAGUUGAAAUGCUCCCAAACCAAGUAUAUAUUUAGAUAAUUAAACUCAAGAAUUAUGGAAGUUUAAGAUUAAGAACUCUUAGUCACAGGUAAGCAUACACUAAGGAAAAUCAAAUCCGUUUGACUCCAGCCAAUCGACUCUUCUGUAAUAUUUUUGCUUACACUUUUUUGCAGCUUUACUGCUGAGUUAGCUGUUCUCUAACGUCCCUGACAAAUUUGGGAAGCCACCGUGUGUACAUAAAUUGAGAGAAAAUAUUUCUGCCAAUUCAAUCCUGAUCGUUUCUUCUCAGGGUUAUAAAAUUUGGGUUUUCAUGACCCCAAUGUUAAUUAAAAAAGAAAAGAAAAAACCCAAACAAAGCAACCCCUGAUAGUCUGAAGGGGUACUCGUCAUUGUAGGAGGGUAUUGUAGAGCCUAGGGACUGUGAAUUGGCCACCUACUGAGUAACUAGAAGCAUGGAAACCAAACUUCACAGCUUUCAUAUAAUUCCAGUGUCUAAUCACUUUGUCAGACCCAGCAAGUCAGAGAAAUCUCUAAUAAUACUAGGAUAAUUAAAUACUUCAGUAACCAUAGGCUCUAAGGUAAAAGGCAAAACUGUUUUUUAUUAGGGAAACUUAUGCUGAGACAACCUUUUAGAAUGAUUUAAGGGGGUCAAUAGAUAGGUGAACCAGUCCACUAUAAAUAAUAUGUUUAAGAUUAAAAAUACUGCCCAGAUGCUGUAUCAAAAUCUACUUUAGAGUGAAGUUGUAAUGAAGGACUAUUUUAUUUUA
Molecule: long non-coding RNA, 2583 nt
Organism: Physeter macrocephalus (sperm whale)
Lineage: Eukaryota; Metazoa; Chordata; Mammalia; Artiodactyla; Physeteridae
Exons: 3
Source: RefSeq, a predicted model, not a curated record